AUUGAACGCUGGCGGCAGGCUUAACACAUGCAAGUCGAGCGGAGAUGAGGUGCUUGCACCUUAUCUUAGCGGCGGACGGGUGAGUAAUGCUUAGGAAUCUGCCUGUUAGUGGGGCACAACAUUCCGAAAGUAAUGCUAAUGCUGCAUACGUCCUACGGGAGACAGCAGCGGAUGUUCGGAGCUUGCGCUAAUAGAUGAGCCUAAGUCGGAUUAGCUAGUUGGUGGGGUAAAGGCCUACCAAGGCGCCGAUCCGUAGCGGGUCUGAGAGGAUGAUCCGCCACACUGGGACUGGGACAGGGCCCAGACUCCUACGGGAGGCAGCAGUGGGGAAUAUUGGACAAUGGGGGGAAACCUGAUCCAGCCAUGCCGCGUGUGUGAAGAAGGCCUUAUGGUUGUAAAGCACUUUAAGCGAGGAGGAGGCUACUGAGACUAAUACUCUUGGAUAGUGGACGUUACUCGCAGAAUAAGCACCGGCUAACUCUGUGCCAGCCGCCGCCGUAA
This 501-nucleotide ribosomal RNA is filed under the name uncultured bacterium. RNAcentral's name for it is "partial 16S ribosomal RNA". It matches the Rfam family "Bacterial small subunit ribosomal RNA", at positions 30 to 523 of the family's 1533-position model. The record is from RNAcentral.